ACUCAGACAAUGCCCAGACCUCCAGAAACCAUGUGUCAAGCUCGGAUUGCCUUAGACAGAAGCUCACCCAGCUGGAACUCUUAUGGGACCUUGGCACCAGAGACCACAAAUUCCUCUUUGAAGUUUUCUAACAGCAACAAUGAGUUUCGCUCUGUCGCCCAGGCUGGAGUGCAGUGGCGCGCGAUCUCGGUUCACUGCAAGCUCCACCUCCCGGGUUCACGCCAUUCUCCUGCCUCAGCCUCCUGAGUAGCUGGGACUACAGGCGCCCGCCACCACACCCAGGAAUCCAACUUGCUGUUUGCUAUCACAUGUGCUAUACAUGCUGUUGAUGAAACUGCUAAAGGGGCUGAAUGUGACUGACGUCUUUGGAAGGAUGAGACUUAGCGUGCCUGUACAGUUGUGUCCAAAUGCUGUCCUCAUCUCCCAAUGAAAAGGUAUUGUAAAUAAAGAGAAAGAUCAGAGGCUUAUUUUAAACACUAAAUAUGAGCUAGGAGCUGUCCUAGACACUAUGUAAAAGUUUUAUUUAGUUCUCACUGUAAUGUUGGCCUUAUGUUAGCAUCCCAUUUUUCAGACUGAGGAAAUUAUGGCUCAGAGAGGUUAAGAGACUUAUUGAAGGUCACACAGCUCCACAAACUUUGGUGUAGAUUGAACGUGUACAUGGGUCUAUGUGACUUUGAAUCUUGCAUUCUUUACAUUAUUGGAAUAUUUCACAGAAGGAAAAUGACAUAUUAACAUGGCAAUAAGAUUUCUGGUUCCAGUCUGGUUACUGGUCUUCCAAGAGUGUUAUAGGAUGUAUAGCCUGAGCUCUGAAGCUUUGUUCUGAAGCAUGCUAUCAAUAUGAACAAAUUGGUAUGGAAGGAAGCCACAAAUUAUAUACUAAAAUCUAGUUCAUCAGAGGAAAAUAUAGUUAAAUACAUUUACAUUCCCAGAACUGUUAAUAUUGAAGAAUAAAACACACAGUGGGAAAGAGACGAAGAGAAAAUACGCCUGUUUUUAUGACUUGUUGAUAUCUACAGGGUUUUUCCUUAAGCCUCACAACAAUUUACAGCAUUGCCAGCAGCAUUCAGUACAUUCAGAACAGGAUAAUUUCACCCGCAGCUGAACUAGGGCCAUGCCUGGGACAGACAGAGAAUGGCCUUCCAGCAGACAUGCCAAGAAGCAAGCCAGGGUCAGUGAGUGAAGAGGAGGGCAGGCCCAUUUGAAGCAACACAGUUUAUGUAAGUGUGAUCUAACUGCUUUCACUGGAAAUGGGUCAGACUCCAGUUGAGAGAACCAGGGGCCUGAAUGACCCCAGCAAAAUCACUGUGGCAAUUCUUUCAAUCACCUCUGAGAAUAUGGCCCUGUGACGACAUAAUGACGUUUGGAUUAAUUCCAGUCGGCUGUGUUUUCCCCUCCUUUCUUGCCUCCCCGUAGUUGAUUUGCCAAAUUUUUUUUGUUUGCUUAAAUACGCGGAACUAAACAGGAUACAUUAUAUGACAGUCUGUGAUAAAUUUACCAC
Molecule: long non-coding RNA, 1498 nt
Organism: Homo sapiens (human)
Lineage: Eukaryota; Metazoa; Chordata; Mammalia; Primates; Hominidae
Gene: LUCAT1
Product: lung cancer associated transcript 1
Source: Ensembl